Molecule: transfer RNA, 76 nt
Filed under: Desulfuromonadales bacterium
Lineage: Bacteria; Pseudomonadati; Thermodesulfobacteriota; Desulfuromonadia; Desulfuromonadales
Description: tRNA-Ala
Rfam family: tRNA
About the family: Transfer RNA (tRNA) molecules are approximately 80 nucleotides in length. Their secondary structure includes four short double-helical elements and three loops (D, anti-codon, and T loops). Further hydrogen bonds mediate the characteristic L-shaped molecular structure. tRNAs have two regions of fundamental functional importance: the anti-codon, which is responsible for specific mRNA codon recognition, and the 3' end, to which the tRNAs corresponding amino acid is attached (by aminoacyl-tRNA synthetases). tRNAs cope with the degeneracy of the genetic code in two manners: having more than one tRNA (with a specific anti-codon) for a particular amino acid; and 'wobble' base-pairing, i.e. permitting non-standard base-pairing at the 3rd anti-codon position.
Source: RNAcentral
GGGGAUGUAGCUCAGCUGGGAGAGCGACGCGUUCGCAACGCGUAGGUCGACGGUUCGAUCCCGUUCAUCUCCACCA